RNAcentral lists this ribosomal RNA (392 nucleotides) under uncultured bacterium. RNAcentral describes it as "bacterial SSU rRNA". It matches the Rfam family "Bacterial small subunit ribosomal RNA", at positions 28 to 418 of the family's 1533-position model. The record is from RNAcentral.
GACGAACGCUGGCGGCGUGCCUAACACAUGCAAGUCGAGCGAAUGAAGUUCCUUCGGGAACGGAUUUAGCGGCGGACGGGUGAGUAACACGUGGGCAACCUGCCUCAUAGAGGGGAAUAGCCUUCCGAAAGGGAGAUUAAUACCGCAUAAGAUUGUAGUACCGCAUGGUACAGCAAUUAAAGGAGCAAUCUGCUAUGAGAUGGGCCCGCGGCGCAUUAGCUAGUUGGUGAGGUAACGGCUCACCAAGGCGACGAUGCGUAGCCGACCUGAGAGGUGAUCGGCCACAUUGGGACUGAGACACGGCCCAGACUCCUACGGGAGGCAGCAGUGGGGAAUAUUGCACAAUGGGGGAAACCCUGAUGCAGCAACGCCGCGUGAGUGAUGACGGCCUC